Molecule: ribosomal RNA, 405 nt
Filed under: Klebsiella pneumoniae
Lineage: Bacteria; Pseudomonadati; Pseudomonadota; Gammaproteobacteria; Enterobacterales; Enterobacteriaceae
Description: bacterial LSU rRNA
Rfam family: Bacterial large subunit ribosomal RNA
Source: RNAcentral
GGGUUGUGAGGUUAAGCGACUAAGCGUACACGGUGGAUGCCCUGGCAGUCAGAGGCGAUGAAGGACGUGCUAAUCUGCGAAAAGCGUCGGUAAGGUGAUAUGAACCGUUACAGCCGGCGAUGUCCGAAUGGGGAAACCCAGUGCAAUUCGUUGCACUAUCGUUAACUGAAUACAUAGGUUAACGAGGCGAACCGGGGGAACUGAAACAUCUAAGUACCCCGAGGAAAAGAAAUCAACCGAGAUUCCCCCAGUAGCGGCGAGCGAACGGGGAGCAGCCCAGAGUCUGAAUCAGCUUGUGUGUUAGUGGAACGGUCUGGAAAGUCCGACGGUACAGGGUGAUAGUCCCGUACACCAAAAUGCACAGGCUGUGAACUCGAAGAGUAGGGCGGGACACGUGGUAUCCUG